GAGGGUAUAGCUCAGUGGUAGAGCGUGUGCUUGGAAUGCACGAGGUCCUAGGUUCAAUCCCCAGUACCUCUG
RNAcentral lists this transfer RNA (72 nucleotides) under Camelus bactrianus (Bactrian camel). It matches the Rfam family "tRNA". Rfam says of the family: Transfer RNA (tRNA) molecules are approximately 80 nucleotides in length. Their secondary structure includes four short double-helical elements and three loops (D, anti-codon, and T loops). Lineage: Eukaryota; Metazoa; Chordata; Mammalia; Artiodactyla; Camelidae. RNAcentral also lists the same sequence under 2 other names. The record is from Rfam by way of RNAcentral.